Mytilus trossulus (common blue mussel) is the source of this 256-nucleotide long non-coding RNA. RefSeq lists it as uncharacterized. The record is from RefSeq and is a predicted model, not a curated record. The transcript has 3 exons. NCBI's taxonomy places the organism in Eukaryota, Metazoa, Mollusca, Bivalvia, Mytilida, Mytilidae.
CAACUUUUCCUAAAGGAUGUUAUGACAAAGAACCUUUAAUAUGUAGCUCCGAGGCAGAUGCUAUUUGUACAAAUACUGCAUACAAAGCUUAUGUUGAAGUCAAUUGUCAAAAGACAUGUUACCAGUGUUCAGGACAUAUAAGAACAACACCAACACCUAAAGGUUGUUCAUUUAAUGGAGUUCAUUACCAACAUAAUGCUCAGUGGAGAGAUGGCUGUAAAAACUGUAGUUGUGUCAACGGUAUCUCCACUUGUGU